This is a long non-coding RNA of Pan paniscus (pygmy chimpanzee), 321 nucleotides long. NCBI's taxonomy places the organism in Eukaryota, Metazoa, Chordata, Mammalia, Primates, Hominidae. The record is from Ensembl.
GAGACUUCCGAUUCUAAGGGAUGAUUAUUUGGAUGCAUAUUUCCAGCUCCUUCCUUCGGAUCCUUAUUUUUUCCUUUCCACGGUGGCAUCCAUCAAUCUAAGGAAAUUUAGCGCCCACUGAGACCAAAGUCCAUGUGGUCAGACACAAAAGAGCCAUCGAUUGCUGAACCUGUUCACGCCUACCUUCAAAGGCACAAAAAGAACACAGGAAGUCAAUAUAAAGCAGGCAAGCAGCUUCCUUGAGAUAUUGGCAAGAAUUCUCCCCAAAACUACUGUGAACUUGAAAAGAAAAUGGGAUCUGUAGAUAUUUCAAAAGUAUCA